AUCUAGUAAAGGUCUCUUAAACCUCCACAUAGUAAUUAACGCCUACUUCUAAUGG
Molecule: transfer RNA, 55 nt
Filed under: Lycus dentipes
Lineage: Eukaryota; Metazoa; Arthropoda; Insecta; Coleoptera; Lycidae
Description: tRNA-Lys
Source: RNAcentral